This 1134-nucleotide long non-coding RNA is filed under the name Vigna radiata. RNAcentral's name for it is "long non-coding RNA (VRAD_LNC008617)". The record is from RNAcentral. Lineage: Eukaryota; Viridiplantae; Streptophyta; Magnoliopsida; Fabales; Fabaceae.
GCAGUUUAAUUCAUUCAGGCAGAGUACAAUAAAAAAUAACCAAUAUAAAAGGAAAAGUUCAAAAAAUCGGGUUGCCUCCUAGCAAGCGCUUCUUUAACGUCACUAGCUUAACCGAGUCUUCAUCAUCAUAGCAUCCAUCAGUAGAUGUUGUCAGUAACAUCCAUCAGUAGAUGUCUAAUCCCAUAACAUCCCUCAGUAAAUGCUAAUAUUUCUUAUCUUCAUUGGCAUCCCUCAGUAGACACCAAUCUUUCUCAUCCUCAUUGGCAUCCAUCAGUAGAUGCUAUCAUUGCUGCAAAACAAAAUCAAAUCCACACCAUACAACUAAAAUAAAAUAAAAAAUCAGGAAUUGGGUUGCCUCCCAACAAGUGCUUCUUUAACGUCAUUAGCUUAACCCACUACAAUUGCCCUAUGCCUCAAUUGUUUUCUUUUCUUGACAUUUUUUUCUUUUUGUUGAAUUUCUUCAUGAAUUUAAUAUAACCAGGAACAUGUUGCAGUGUCUCGAUCAUAGGAAUUUUAAUCUCCAAUUUCUUGAAGAUUUCCAUGAAAAGCUCAAACUGUUUUUCCUUCUCCUUCUUAUGAUACUUCUUUGGGUGAGGAAAGGGCUUUUCAUAUGAUUCUUUCUUUUUUUCUCUCGUCCUCCUUUUCUCCCUUUUUCUUUUCUUCCUUCUCUUUUUCUUCCUCAGAGCACUACUUAAGGUAAAGAAGAUUUUUUUCAAUUUUUUUCUCUUAUCUCUCAACUUCUUCUUCUUCUUUUCUCUCUUCUUCCAUAUUUUUCCCCUCUUCUUUUCUCUUAACCUUGCCUUUUAUUCUCUUUUUUUCCUCUCUCUUCUUCUUUCUCUUUUUUACUCAAACUUUCCUCUUCUUCUCUCUAUACUUUUCUCUCAUCUGAAACUUUGCCACUUUUAGUGAUAGUGGCUUGACAAUCCUCUCUAGGGCUAUCUUUCAUAUUGGCCCCAAGAUCAUCCAACUUUUGAAUUAUGAGUCUAAAUUAUGCCUCCAUCCUUCUAGAAGUUGCUUAAGUGCUUUUUUUAAUUGAGACAGAUUCCUACAUGAACUAUUGGAGAGUAUCCUCAAGGUUUGUAGUACUGUCAGCUAGAAAGGGUUGUUGUGGUGGUCUAUUGAAUAGUCCACCAG